RNAcentral lists this ribosomal RNA (354 nucleotides) under Haemaphysalis longicornis (longhorned tick). RNAcentral's name for it is "partial 12S ribosomal RNA". The record is from RNAcentral. Lineage: Eukaryota; Metazoa; Arthropoda; Arachnida; Ixodida; Ixodidae.
GAUACCCUAUUAUUAAGAAAAAUUAUAUUGUUAGUAUAUAAAUUGUAUGAAAACAAAAAAUUAUGGCGGUAUUUUAAGCUUUUCAGAGGAAUUUGCUCUUUAAUGGAUAAAACACCUAAAUCUUACUAAAUUUAGUUAAGCAGUUUGUAUACCACUAUUUAAGUAAUAAUUUGCUAUUAUUACUAAAAUUUAUAUUAAUUAAAAAAAGUUAAGUCAAGGUGCAGCAUAAAUUUUAGUAUGAAGUGAAUUACAUUUCUUUUAAGAAAAAUUUGUUGAAAAUAAAAUUUAGGAUUUGAAAGUAAAAUUUUAAUAGAAGGAAAAUUUGAAUUAAGCUCUAAAAUAUGUACACAUCGC